UGUGGCAUGGUUAUGUAAAAAUAAAAAACAAAUAAAUGUAAACAGAAGCUUUAUCAUCAUCUUUAAAUCAAAAUAAACUCUGCUGUGUAAUAAGGCUGUCAAAUAGGCUUGAAUAAAACAAUAACAAUAUCUUUAUUCAAGUUCAAGAGUUCAAAACACAUAUACAGGGCAACAAUAUGUAACAGUCCUUUUAAAUAUGCCUCAUCUCUUCUUUAAAUAGUCAAACUUUGGAAAGCACGACAGCCAUUUCAUUCCUGACAAAAAAAAUCCUGUUGUCUUCCUUUCUCCACUCUCCAGAAAAGCAAAAUAUGAACUGUAAUAUCAGUUAGAAAAAACCGUUGGUCUGCUUCUGCCAAGCCAGAGGCAGCAACCAAUCAGAAUGCUGGCUGGGCCAAGCAGCUGUCGUCAUAGCAACCCUUUCCAGUGAACUCAUUGCAAUAUGGAGUCUUUAUUUCAUAUUCCCUCACAUGGAGGAACUCAUACUCUCUCAGCCCUAGGAAGGCACAGAGCUCUCUUAUGCCUACCUUCUUCAAAGCAGCUGUGGGUCAUUCCUUACUGUGCAAUAUGGCUGCUAGCUUGAGUUGCUGUUCUGAGACUUAAAGCCCUGUUAACUUCUAUUAGUGUUUCCUGUCAUCCACCUGACUCAAGAAGAUGCCUAAACAUCUAUCAAAGCAACUGAACAUUUUUGACUUCAUGACAAAAAAAGAAAAAGCCAACUAUUGAAGUCCAAGAAGACAGCAGGUUGAGAACCACUGCAGCAGCUGGUACUGAUGAAGCCCCCAGAAUAUGCACACCUAAACUACAGGUGAAAAAUGAGGAAACUGUGGUGAAAACAUAUAUAAGAAGCACAAUGGGGCAAGAAAUACUGACUGUACUUGCACUCUUGAGUGUCCACCGAAGUUUAUUGAUUGAGCCCGAUUUCUGUCAAAGUGUAUUGACACAAUUUUCAAGUGUUUCCAGCAGAUGUUGUAGUAUUCUUUUGUAACUAUAAAUUACCAAUUAAGAGUCAUUUUCAGUUUUUUAAGACUUGAAGCUUUGUAACUAAAAUAGAAAAGUGAUUUAAUUGAGUCUAUACAAAAUAUAGAAUGAAACAUAUAA
Molecule: long non-coding RNA, 1098 nt
Organism: Anolis carolinensis (green anole)
Lineage: Eukaryota; Metazoa; Chordata; Lepidosauria; Squamata; Anolidae
Exons: 2
Source: RefSeq, a predicted model, not a curated record